RNAcentral lists this ribosomal RNA (247 nucleotides) under uncultured bacterium. RNAcentral's name for it is "partial 16S ribosomal RNA". It matches the Rfam family "Bacterial small subunit ribosomal RNA", at positions 530 to 776 of the family's 1533-position model. The record is from RNAcentral.
GGGUGCAAACGUUGUUCGGAAUUACUGGGCGUAAAGCGCGUGUAGGCGGCAGGGCAUGUCGGAUGUGAAAUCCCGUGGCUCAACCACGGAAGUGCACCCGAAACUGCCCAGCUUGAGUCUCGGAGAGGAAGGCGGAAUGCUUGGUGUAGAGGUGAAAUUCGUAGAUAUCAAGCGGAACACCGGUGGCGAAGGCGGCCUUCUGGACGAUGACUGACGCUGAGACGCGAAAGCGUGGGGAGCAAACAGG